UUGCCCUCUUUUUGGUUUAUAUUAAUUAAAAGAUGGCCUUGAGCAAUAUCUUUUGCUAUUCUGUUUGUUCAUUGUGUACUUACUCUUUCAUCACUUCUUGUCCCUCAGCAAAAAUAUCCAGCAGUUAUUAACUGGUAUUGAUCAGUAAAAGGUUCUUCGCUGUUCUUCAGUAGUGAUUGAAGUCCUGACAUGAUUAGGUUGAGUUAUUCCAGUUUUGCUCUACUGGUUUGGCUUCCAGGAAUACUCAAUGCACAGGGAACACCAGAGUUAUGCAGUGCUCCCACACUGCUAAAUGGUUUUUUUGUCCCCAUGAAGGACUCUUACCAGCAACAUGAAAAGAUCGAGUACGCCUGUGAGAAUGAAUACAAACCUGCAGUGGAGCGGGCAGAAAGCGUGUGUAGAAAUGGUCAAUGGUCUCCUCAGCCACUGUGCAUUGGUGGCAUCAGUGGAAGUUGCUGAUCAGGGAGGGCUCAAGGAUGUCAUCAGUGGCGACCCUGGAGCUCUGGACCGUACCCGUCUGAAUCCACCAGGUAUUGACGCCGACCUUCUUGGCGACGGGAGUCUAGGAUCUCCCCAAUGAGAUAGGCCGCCUUUCCAUCCACCAUCAAGGGAGGCACACCGACGUCAGAGGGUUCCGACCCCCCCCGCCCGCCCCAUCUGGAGGUCUACUGGCGGGCUUCAGCAAAGAGACGUGGGCGGUGGAUGGGUGGGAGAGAAGUGAUAGUCAGGAGGCAACAGGAGGUGAAGCCAGAGGUCUCGGGUGAAAGGCCAGACCCAUUGACCGGGAACCAGAUCGGGACCUUCCCUGUCAGCAGGUGGGCUUGAGGCCCCUAGUGUUUUCAUGAGAUGUAUUUUAAUUUAUUCAGUCUUUUAACCACUAUAAUAAAUCUCUUUUAAAAUUGGAGCCACGUCUCCACUUGGUUGAGUCCCCAUUUUUUAUUAGUGUGUGCCUGAACAUCUUAUGUUGUCACACACCUACAUGAUGAACUGACUGGCUGGGUCCAGGCGAUGGAGGAUUGGCACCUGGGUAAAGCACUGCUCAGGUGUCUGUAAUGCCUCCGUGGCUGCCUGGUCCAUAUCAGACCUUUGGGAGCGCCCUUCAGUGGAGAGGUGAGAGGGUCUGCCACCAUGCUGAAGCCAUGGAUGAAACGUUGGAAGACAUUGGCUAACCAGAGGAAACGCUGCAGCUCCUUUACUGUGUUUGGCUGGGACCACUGCAGCACCACGUAAACCCCUUGCCCUGAUCCAUCACCACGCCCCACUGCGCUGAUCACAUAACCCAGAAAAGACACUGAUGUUUCAUGGAACUCCCGCUUCUCUCCCUUGGCGUACAGGUUAUGCUGGAUCAGCCGCUGUAAUACCUGCCGAACAUGUGCAACAUGCUCCUUCAACGUGUCAGAGUAGACCAGGAUGUCGUUGAUGUAAACGACAACAAAGCAUUGCAGCAUGUCCUGGAAGAUGUCGUUAACAAAUGCCUGGAACACAGAGGGGUGUUAGAGACGAAAAUGACCAAACAUUCUCUUUCACUCAUGCAAAUGAGGUUUGUGAACAAUAGUUUUGUUUUGUAGAUCCACAGCAGCAAAUCAAAGAAGCUGCACUUGCUUCAAUAAAAUCCUGACUCGAACCCAUCUUUCUCGGUUCGUUUCCAAUCCGACUGAGCUUCAGUUCGCUCUGAAAAUCUUCAGUCUGAAUACAAUCUGUUCCCGGAGCGCAACAACUGAACCAAAAUGGCCAGCGUAGCCGGUGGUCACGUGGUCCAAAAGACAGUCAGAAUCUAGCAAAUGAUGAACUUGUGUAAAGUAACAAUAAUUUUGGUAUCAAAGAGCUAAAAAACUCCUUACUUGUUACAAGUAACACUGCUGAAAAUGCUUCUUACAUGCCUUUCUGUGUCUCGUUACACGCCACGCGCUGCUGUGACAUAAUCCAAUUAGCUACCUUGUAGUUUCACAGCAGAAUUCUCUCAAACAAUGCCGUAACAUCACAACAAUGAGACACAGCAACUUACUGAAAUUUGAUUAGAUGAAUGCAGGCUCAAUAAAACAACUUUUAACUUGAUGCACAUUGCUGUUCACAGUUUUCCCGACAUCUAUAUGUCAUAAACACUUAGCAGACUACCGUCAUAGUAACUUCACAUCAUCACAGCAGUUGCUAGCAUCCUCUGAGUUAAAGCACAGUAACAGCCAGCAUACCUUGGCCGUACCAAAGUAACAAGUAAACAGUGUUGUUCCCAACGUUCAGAACUGAUGAUCAAAAUAAGAGUUUUGACAAGUUAAAAGUCCCGAUAAGAGUUGUAAAGCGAAGCACGUCUGUCUUUCUCUUGUUGUUUUGACCCCCCCCCCCCCCCGAAUUCCUGGCUAAUGACUGACGAGAUGUUUAGUCACAUAGUUUUAUUAACAAGCUUUGGUCUGUAGCAGAAUAAACUGCUUGAUGCCAGACUGAAUACUGACCAAACGCACAAAUUAAGUGGACUCGAUCCAGAAAAAAUAAAUUUUCCAGUCUAGAUUCACCCUCUCAUCCAACUGUAGGUGGUGGAUGUGCACUAGUAAACAGUAGUAAAAGAAAAAGCCCCCCCCCCUGCUUGUUGUCACAAGAACAGGCAGACAGCUGGAUCCAAAUGCAGCAGGUUUAUUAGCUCAGCUAAAAGUCCACAAAGCUAAAUCAUGGUCAAACAGGUAAGAGUCAAUAACAGGCUAUAAGUUCAUCACAGAAGAGACAGGAUGGUCAAAAUCCAGGCAAGGGUCAGGGCAGGCGGCAGGCAGAGUCAGAGCCAGGAGACAGAACAUCAGUUCCAGAAAUAAUGUUCGGUAAAGUCGGCAGAGCGGCACAAACAAUAAUACACAUGGAGCUGAGCUCAGUGCAGUCCUAAAGUAUGCUCUUUCAUUGUGCACAUUAUAGUCUACAAACAUAGGUUGACUGUUUUGUUAUUCAAGUUUACAUAAAAAUGAUCCAAAGACUUUCAGCCAAACAGCUUAAAUCUAAGUUAGUUGGACUUAAUUUUAAAUUCUAAAACUGUGUGCAGAAAUAUUCACAACUUUGUUGCAUUUGUUGAAUUUAUUUUAUAGGUUGUCCCACAAGAUAUACUGGCAGUGUAAGUGCUCUAAAAUUGUAUUUUUAUACAAAAGCAUUGUUCUACUUUUAAACUGGCUGUAUUAAUAAGUAAUUGACAUAAAUUUCCCAAUUUUUUUAUUUUGUUUGUUUGUAUGUUUGUUUUGCCAUCAGAGAGACUGCGAUUUCAUUAACAGAGCCGUGGUUCUGUCAUGGUUUGGGUUUCUUUGUAUUGGUUUUUGCUUCCUGUCUUGUUCUGUCAUGGUUGAGUUCUGU
Oryzias latipes (Japanese medaka) is the source of this 3321-nucleotide non-coding RNA. Lineage: Eukaryota; Metazoa; Chordata; Actinopteri; Beloniformes; Adrianichthyidae. The record is from RefSeq and is a predicted model, not a curated record.